Molecule: ribosomal RNA, 141 nt
Filed under: uncultured eukaryote
Lineage: Eukaryota
Description: partial 18S ribosomal RNA
Rfam family: Eukaryotic small subunit ribosomal RNA
Source: RNAcentral
UGGUGGAGCGAUUUGUCUGGUUAAUUCCUAUAACGAACGAGACUCUAGCCUGCUAACUAGUCGUAGUGUCUAAUACAAUUGCAUUGCGCAGCUUCUUAGAGGGAUAAGCGGCAUCUAGCCGCACGAGAUUGAGCAAUAACA